This 254-nucleotide ribosomal RNA is filed under the name uncultured bacterium. RNAcentral describes it as "partial 16S ribosomal RNA". It matches the Rfam family "Bacterial small subunit ribosomal RNA", at positions 524 to 776 of the family's 1533-position model. The record is from RNAcentral.
UACGGGGGGGGGCAAGCGUUGUUCGGAAUUACUGGGCGUAAAGGGCUCGUAGGCGGCCAACUAAUUCGGAUGUGAAAUCCCCAGGCCUAACCUGGGAACUGCAUCUGAUACUGGAUGGCUUGAAUCCGGGAGAGGGAUGCAGAAUUCCAGGUGUAGCGGUGAAAUGCGUAGAUAUCUGGAGGAAUACCGGUGGCGAAGGCGGCAUCCUGGACCGGCAUUGACGCUGAUGAGCGAAAGCUAGGGGAGCAAACGGG